Molecule: microRNA, 21 nt
Filed under: Danio rerio (zebrafish)
Lineage: Eukaryota; Metazoa; Chordata; Actinopteri; Cypriniformes; Danionidae
Also listed under: 1 other name
Description: dre-miR-2188-3p
Source: miRBase by way of RNAcentral
CUGUGUGAGGUUAGACCUAUC